Molecule: long non-coding RNA, 278 nt
Filed under: Gossypium barbadense (sea-island cotton)
Lineage: Eukaryota; Viridiplantae; Streptophyta; Magnoliopsida; Malvales; Malvaceae
Description: long non-coding RNA (GBAR_LNC005751)
Source: RNAcentral
CGCAUUGUUUUGAUUUUCAAAAAUACGAGUUCAAUGUAAGAUUUAAUCGUGAUCCUGUUGAAAAGACGAGAAAUUUUAGUUUUUUGGUUUUUUAGAAUGGUGUUCCGUCUUUAACACGAGCCGACAAAUUCCAUCCAACAUAGCGAUGAAAUCUACGGCUUAAUGUUAAAUCGAUACAUUGCCUUACUUAUUAAAAACAAGAAUAAGAUUUUCGAAAUAAUGCAAAGCAAAUUAAUAAAUAAAAAUAAAUAGAAGACAGAUCUAGAAGUAUAUUGAAG